Molecule: ribosomal RNA, 253 nt
Filed under: uncultured bacterium
Lineage: Bacteria
Description: partial 16S ribosomal RNA
Rfam family: Bacterial small subunit ribosomal RNA
Source: RNAcentral
UACGAAGGGGGCUAGCGUUGCUCGGAAUCACUGGGCGUAAAGGGUGCGUAGGCGGGUUUUUAAGUCAGGGGUGAAAUCCUGGAGCUCAACUCCAGAACUGCCUUUGAUACUGAAGAUCUUGAGUGCGGGAGAGGUGAGUGGAACUGCGAGUGUAGAGGUGAAAUUCGUAGAUAUUCGCAAGAACACCGGUGGCGAAGGCGGGUCUCUGGGCCGAUACUGACGCUGAGGAGCGAAAGCGUGGGGAGCAAACAGG